This 254-nucleotide ribosomal RNA is filed under the name uncultured bacterium. RNAcentral describes it as "partial 16S ribosomal RNA". It matches the Rfam family "Bacterial small subunit ribosomal RNA", at positions 524 to 776 of the family's 1533-position model. The record is from RNAcentral.
UACGUAGGGUGCGAGCGUUAAUCGGAAUUACUGGGCGUAAAGCGUGCGCAGGUGGAUGCUUAAGCCAGACGUGAAAUCCCCGGGCUUAACCUGGGAAUGGCGUUUGGAACUGGGCGUCUUGGAGUGCGGCAGAGGGAGGUGGAAUUCCUGGUGUAGCAGUGAAAUGCGUAGAUAUCAGGAGGAACACCGAUGGCGAAGGCAGCCUCCUGGGCCAGCACUGACGCUCAAGCACGAAAGCGUGGGGAGCAAACAGG